CUCUUGAGCUCCUCCCGCUGGUCGCCUGUCCUGUUGUAUGAACUCCGGAUGCCGUGUGUCCAAACAAUCUUCUGUUGGGAGAUCUGUAAGAGAUCCUGUCGCUGAUAUCCAGCUUCAGCUGAUGCUCAGAAUGAAGAUAUUGCCCCCCAUAUAGGGUUUGUUCUACGUGAUACAGCAAGCAAUCAAUUGUGUGUCCUUCUAUGUCAAUCUCCUCCGCGAUUAUUCUAUGUGUCGUCUCAUUUAAUAUGCUUCUAUCUAUUUGUCAGAAUAGACAAAUAGGCACAUUGCGGUUAACUGUCAUCAUAUCCUCAUUCCUCUCUCAGUUCAUUUCUCCUUAUACCUUCACCACCUAGCCCUCCGAUGGGACACUGCGCGCGCUACAUUGCUUCUGCUCGAUCCAUUGAGAAUAGGAAUUCCUCGAACCUACCAGUAUAUUUUAAGAUAUAUAAAGAAUCUCCAAUCC
This 463-nucleotide small RNA is filed under the name Histoplasma ohiense. RNAcentral describes it as "hypothetical lncRNA". The record is from RNAcentral. Lineage: Eukaryota; Fungi; Ascomycota; Eurotiomycetes; Onygenales; Ajellomycetaceae.